RNAcentral lists this ribosomal RNA (245 nucleotides) under uncultured bacterium. RNAcentral's name for it is "partial 16S ribosomal RNA". It matches the Rfam family "Bacterial small subunit ribosomal RNA", at positions 524 to 768 of the family's 1533-position model. The record is from RNAcentral.
UACGUAGGUGGCGAGCGUUGUCCGGAAUUACUGGGUGUAAAGGGCGUGUAGGUGGGUGAACAAGUGAGUUGUGAAAUACCGAGGCUUAACCUUGGGGGUGCAACUUAAACUGUACAUCUUGAGUACUGGAGAGGGAAGCGGAAUUCCUAGUGUAGCGGUGAAAUGCGUAGAUAUUAGGAGGAACACCAGUGGCGAAGGCGGCUUUCUGGACAGAGACUGACACUGAGGCGCGAAAGCGUGGGGAG